ACCCAGGCCAGGACUAUUAGUUCAAAAGACUAAAAUGUGUGUAAGACUGUCAUUUUGGGGAUCCCUGGGUGGCGCAGCGGUUUGGCGCCUGCCUUUGGCCCAGGGCGCGAUCCUGGAGACCCGGGAUCGAAUCCCACGUCAGGCUCCCGGUGCAUGGAGCCUGCUUCUCCCUCUGCCUAUGUCUCUGCCCCCCCCCUCUCUCUCUCUCUGUGUGUGUGACUAUCAUAAAUAAAUAAAAAUUAAAAAAAAAACUGUCAUUUUGAACUGCAUUUCUAUGGGAGCUGAAAGAGGUAUGGAAUGCCCUAUGGGAUUCUAUGCUCUGGCCAUAGCCUUGAAACAGUAAAUAUAUCUGAGUUUCUAAUGGUUUCUUGGAGAUAUGAGGAAGAGGACUUCAUAUUUUCGUCUACAAUAAUAUGUACCACAAACAUUUUUUGAACACCUACUAUAUGUAAGGUAAUGCAGAGCCCCUCCCUGACAACUUAUAUUUUAGUUGGAAAGACAGGACACGCACAAAAUGAGGUUAAGAACCAGUUCAAUAACCAUGUGCUCAAAAAGAGAGAAAUGAGAACCGGACAGGUCAGACAGGCUUCCUAAAGAAACUGCUAUUUGAGCUGGGCCUUGAAGAAUGGGUGGGAGAGAAGGGCCUCUUGUUCAUUCAUUCAUUCAUUCAUCAGAAUUCAUUCAACAAAUAUUCAUCUGUUGUGCCAGCUAUGUACCACUUUCUGUGCUCAGCAUCAUGAAUAUUAUGGUGAAUAAAACUGAAAGGGUUCCUGUCCUGUUGUAGUUUCUAGUUCAGAUAACAAAAUCAUAGAUUUCAUAGCACUUAUAUGUGCUGUGAGUGGUAAGCUUUCUAGUGGAAACAAGAUCUAAAUUGAUCUAUUUUUUAAAAGCCAAAAGUUUCCACCAAAGAGUGGUGGAAGAGUGUCCUAAGCAGUGGGAAUAGCAUCUUGUGAAGGCCUAGGGCAAGACAGAGCAUGGCAUUCUUGUGGAGUGGGAGGACCAUGAGCCAAGGAGCAGAGGGAGGAAGAAACUGGGUGUGUACCAGAAGCACUGUAGACACCAGUCAGGUCUGGCAGGUUAGAAGGCAAAGGCAUCAGUAUUCUAUCCUGGGAGCAGUGGGCACUCACUGAAGGUUACUGAGCCAGGAAAAGGUAGCAUGACAAAGUGCUGGUUUAGGAAGAUGAAUCUGUGACUAUGAGCAUGAUGGCAAGAUGCCUCAUUUGGUAUCCUCAGGGCAAGCUCUGGUCAAGCCUUGAAAUGUUAAACAAAUUGUUUAACAAAUUCUUACAUCUAACUAUUGUUUAAUCUAAAGUUAUUGUUUAACAAAUUCUUUUUCUUUUUA
RNAcentral lists this long non-coding RNA (1342 nucleotides) under Canis lupus familiaris (dog). RNAcentral describes it as "lncRNA (ENSCAFG00845016800.1)". Lineage: Eukaryota; Metazoa; Chordata; Mammalia; Carnivora; Canidae. The record is from RNAcentral.